Long non-coding RNA from Helianthus annuus (common sunflower), 207 nucleotides. RefSeq lists it as uncharacterized. The record is from RefSeq and is a predicted model, not a curated record. The transcript has 4 exons. NCBI's taxonomy places the organism in Eukaryota, Viridiplantae, Streptophyta, Magnoliopsida, Asterales, Asteraceae.
AGUUAUAGAUAUUUAUUUCUGAACCGAGUCUGUCCUCCAUAGUUUUUUCUGAUUUUUCUAUUUGAAAUUGAGGUUUUGUUUUGAUCAAAGUUGGGUUAUGCAGAUCCGACCAUAAAUCUUGAAGUUAAUGAUUUUGGUUGUUGUAUUUUUUCAUGUGAUUCCUUACAUCCGUUAUAACAAUCUGAAUCCCACCAUUCGUCAAGCAAC